AGCAGCCGCGGUAAUUCCAGCUCCAAUAGCGUAUAUUAAAGUUGUUGCAGUUAAAAAGCUCGUAGUUGAAUUUCGGGGUUAGUAGGUUGGUCAUGCCUCUGGUAUGUACUGGUCUCACUGAUUCCUCCUUCCUGAUGAGCCGUAAUGCCAUUAAUUUGGUGUUGCGGGGAAUUUGGACUGUUACUUUGAAAAAAUUAGAGUGUUUAAAGCAAGCUAACGCUUGAAUACAUUAGCAUGGAAUAAUGAAAUAGGACGUUCGAUCCUAUUUUGUUGGUUUCUAGGAUUGACGUAAUGAUUAAUAGGGAUAGUUGGGGGCAUUAGUAUUCAAUUGUCAGAGGUGAAAUUCUUGGAUUUAUUGAAGACUAACUACUGCGAAAGCAUUUGCCAAGGAUGUUUUCAUUAAUCAAGAACGAAAGUUAGGGGAUCGAAGACGAUCAGAUACCGUCGUAGUCUUAACCAUAAACUAUGCCGACUAGGGAUCGGAUGAUGUUAAUUUUUAAUGACUCAUUCG
Molecule: unclassified non-coding RNA, 511 nt
Filed under: uncultured Entrophospora
Lineage: Eukaryota; Fungi; Glomeromycota; Glomeromycetes; Entrophosporales; Entrophosporaceae
Description: SSU rRNA
Rfam family: Eukaryotic small subunit ribosomal RNA
Source: RNAcentral